UACGUAGGGAGCAAGCGUUGUCCGGAAUCAUUGGGCGUAAAGCGCGCGUAGGUGGCUUCGUAAGUCCGUUGUGAAAGUCAAAGGCUCAACCUUUGAAAGCCGAUGGAUACUGCGGAGCUAGAGUACGGAAGAGGCGAGUGGAAUUCCUGGUGUAGCGGUGGAAUGCGCAGAUAUCAGGAGGAACACCAAUAGCGAAGGCAGCUCGCUGGGACGUUACUGACGCUGAGACGCGAAAGCGUGGGGAGCGAACAGG
Molecule: ribosomal RNA, 253 nt
Filed under: uncultured bacterium
Lineage: Bacteria
Description: partial 16S ribosomal RNA
Rfam family: Bacterial small subunit ribosomal RNA
Source: RNAcentral